Molecule: ribosomal RNA, 442 nt
Filed under: uncultured bacterium
Lineage: Bacteria
Description: partial 16S ribosomal RNA
Rfam family: Bacterial small subunit ribosomal RNA
Source: RNAcentral
CCUACGGGCGGCAGCAGUGGGGAAUAUUGGGCAAUGGGCGCAAGCCUGACCCAGCAACGCCGCGUGAAGGCAGAAGGCUUUCGGGUUGUAAACUUCUUUUGACAGGGAAGAGCAGAAGACGGUACCUGUCGAAUAAGCCACGGCUAACUACGUGCCAGCAGCCGCGGUAAUACGUAGGUGGCAAGCUGUGUCCGGAUUUACUGGGUGUAAAGGGCGUGUAGCCGGGCUGACAAGUCAGAUGUGAAAUACGGGGGCUCAACCCCCGAACUGCAUUUGAAACUGUUGGUCUUGAGUAUCGGAGAGGCAGGCGGAAUUCCUAGUGUGGCGGUGAAAUGCGUAGAUAUUAGGAGGAACACCAGUGGCGAAGGCGGCCUGCUGGACGACAACUGACGGUGAGGCGCGAAAGCGUGGGGAGCAAACAGGAUUAGAUACCCGAGUAGUC